This 859-nucleotide ribosomal RNA is filed under the name uncultured Clostridium sp. RNAcentral describes it as "bacterial SSU rRNA". It matches the Rfam family "Bacterial small subunit ribosomal RNA", at positions 11 to 884 of the family's 1533-position model. Lineage: Bacteria; Bacillati; Bacillota; Clostridia; Eubacteriales; Clostridiaceae. The record is from RNAcentral.
GUUUGAUCCUGGCUCAGGACGAACGCUGGCGGCGUGCCUAACACAUGCAAGUCGAGCGAAGAAGUCCCUUCGGGGAUGGAUUAGCGGCGGACGGGUGAGUAACACGUGGGUAACCUGGCUCAAAGAGGGGGAUAGCCUCCCGAAAGGGAGAUUAAUACCGCAUAAAAGGUAAAUAUCGCAUGGUAAAUACCUUAAAGGAGAAAUCCGCUUUGAGAUGGGCCCGCGUCGCAUUAGCUAGUUGGAGGGAUAAAAGCCCCCCAAGGCGACGAUGCGUAGCCGACCUGAGAGGGUGAACGGCCACAUUGGAACUGAGAUACGGUCCAGACUCCUACGGGAGGCAGCAGUGGGGAAUAUUGCACAAUGGGGGAAACCCUGAUGCAGCAACGCCGCGUGAGUGAAGAAGGUUUUCGGAUCGUAAAGCUCUGUCAUCCGGGACGAUAAUGACGGUACCGGAAGAGGAAGCCACGGCUAACUACGUGCCAGCAGCCGCGGUAAUACGUAGGUGGCGAGCGUUGUCCGGAAUUACUGGGCGUAAAGGGUGUGCAGGCGGAUAUUUAAGUGAGAUGUGAAAGACCCGGGCUUAACCCGGGCAGUGCAUUUCAAACUGGAUAUCUAGAGUGCAGGAGAGGAGAACGGAAUUCCUAGUGUAGCGGUGUAAUGCGUAGAGAUUAGGAAGAACACCAGUGGCGAAGGCGGUUCUCUGGACUGUAACUGACGCUGAGGCACGAAAGCGUGGGUAGCNAACAGGAUUAGAUACCCUGGUAGUCCACGCCGUAAACGAUGAGUACUAGGUGUAAGGGGGUAUCGACCCCCCCCUGUGCCCCGUAAACACAAUAAGUACUCCCGCCUGGGAAGUACG